RNAcentral lists this ribosomal RNA (591 nucleotides) under uncultured bacterium. RNAcentral's name for it is "bacterial SSU rRNA". It matches the Rfam family "Bacterial small subunit ribosomal RNA", at positions 68 to 675 of the family's 1533-position model. The record is from RNAcentral.
GGGAAGCUUGAAUUCGUUCAAGUGGAGAGUGGCGCACGGGUGAGUAACACGUAGCUAACCUGCCCUCGAGAGCGGGAUAACGCUUCGAAAGGAGUGCUAAGACCGCAUAAGCUCACAUUGAGUAAGUAGUUGUGAGAAAAGGCUGAGGUGCUUGAGGACGGGGCUGCGGUCCAUCAGCUAGUUGGUGGGGUAAGAGCCUACCAAGGCGACGACGGAUAGGGGGCCUGAGAGGGUGGUCCCCCACACUGGGACUGAGACACGGCCCAGACUCCUACGGGAGGCAGCAGUGAGGAAUAUUGCACAAUGGGCGCAAGCCUGAUGCAGCGACGCCGCGUGGGUGAAGAAGGUUUUCGGAUCGUAAAGCCCUUUUCUGUGUGACGAGAAAGGACGGUAGCACAGGAAUAAGUCUCGGCUAACUACGUGCCAGCAGCCGCGGUAAAACGUAGGAGGCAAGCGUUAUCCGGAGUUACUGGGCGUAAAGAGCGUGUAGGCGGGGAUGCAAGUCCGUUGUGAAAGCUCCCGGCUAAACUGGGAGAGGUCAGUGGAGACUGCAUACCUAGAGAGCAUUAGAGGGAAGCGGAAUUCCGGGUG